Molecule: transfer RNA, 85 nt
Filed under: Paludibacteraceae bacterium
Lineage: Bacteria; Pseudomonadati; Bacteroidota; Bacteroidia; Bacteroidales; Paludibacteraceae
Description: tRNA-Tyr
Rfam family: tRNA
About the family: Transfer RNA (tRNA) molecules are approximately 80 nucleotides in length. Their secondary structure includes four short double-helical elements and three loops (D, anti-codon, and T loops).
Source: RNAcentral
GGGCGGGUGUCCGAGUGGCUGAAGGAGCGAGACUGUAAAUUUCGUCGGGUAAAGCCGAACGGUGGUUCGAAUCCACCCCCUCCCA